Small nucleolar RNA from Corapipo altera (White-ruffed manakin), 125 nucleotides. RefSeq annotates it as small nucleolar RNA SNORA28. NCBI's taxonomy places the organism in Eukaryota, Metazoa, Chordata, Aves, Passeriformes, Pipridae. The record is from RefSeq and is a predicted model, not a curated record. The transcript has a single exon.
AAGCAACACUCUGUAGUAAGCAUCUAAGUUGCCUGCUGCAAUUUAAGCUUGCUAGAAUAGAAAAGUCUAACCUAUUCCAGGGGUCUCUGCUUUGUGAGGUCACCUGUUAUAUAGACUUGGACAAU